Molecule: ribosomal RNA, 691 nt
Filed under: Stenotrophomonas geniculata
Lineage: Bacteria; Pseudomonadati; Pseudomonadota; Gammaproteobacteria; Lysobacterales; Lysobacteraceae
Description: bacterial SSU rRNA
Rfam family: Bacterial small subunit ribosomal RNA
Source: RNAcentral
UGCUCCUUGGGUGGCGAGUGGCGGACGGGUGAGGAAUACAUCGGAAUCUACUCUGUCGUGGGGGAUAACGUAGGGAAACUUACGCUAAUACCGCAUACGACCUACGGGUGAAAGCAGGGGAUCUUCGGACCUUGCGCGAUUGAAUGAGCCGAUGUCGGAUUAGCUAGUUGGCGGGGUAAAGGCCCACCAAGGCGACGAUCCGUAGCUGGUCUGAGAGGAUGAUCAGCCACACUGGAACUGAGACACGGUCCAGACUCCUACGGGAGGCAGCAGUGGGGAAUAUUGGACAAUGGGCGCAAGCCUGAUCCAGCCAUACCGCGUGGGUGAAGAAGGCCUUCGGGUUGUAAAGCCCUUUUGUUGGGAAAGAAAUCCAGCUGGCUAAUACCCGGUUGGGAUGACGGUACCCAAAGAAUAAGCACCGGCUAACUUCGUGCCAGCAGCCGCGGUAAUACGAAGGGUGCAAGCGUUACUCGGAAUUACUGGGCGUAAAGCGUGCGUAGGUGGUCGUUUAAGUCCGUUGUGAAAGCCCUGGGCUCAACCUGGGAACUGCAGUGGAUACUGGGCGACUAGAGUGUGGUAGAGGGUAGCGGAAUUCCUGGUGUAGCAGUGAAAUGCGUAGAGAUCAGGAGGAACAUCCAUGGCGAAGGCAGCUACCUGGACCAACACUGACACUGAGGCACGAAAGCGUGGG